CUUUAUGCAUUUAUUAAGGUGUUUGUUUGUUACGUAAAUCCUGCGUCUAUCAGAAUCGAAAGCUCUGUGACCACCGAAGAUGAUAAGAAAGGUCAUGAUGAGUGUCACGACGAACAUCACCAUGAUCACGACCAUCAUCAUCAUGAUCACCAUCACCACAAUGAACAUGGUAAGUUUGGUACCAGAAAAAUGCAGGAUAGCUUGCUUAUUGAUGUGUAUGCUUCAGCUUUAUUAACGUGAGCUAUUGCUUCUGGU
RNAcentral lists this long non-coding RNA (255 nucleotides) under Brassica rapa (field mustard). RNAcentral's name for it is "long non-coding RNA (BRAP_LNC001156)". Lineage: Eukaryota; Viridiplantae; Streptophyta; Magnoliopsida; Brassicales; Brassicaceae. The record is from RNAcentral.